This 125-nucleotide non-coding RNA is filed under the name Licmophora paradoxa. Lineage: Eukaryota; Bacillariophyta; Fragilariophyceae; Licmophorales; Licmophoraceae. The record is from RNAcentral.
AAAUGAACAAAAUGACGGAGGAACAACAAGAACAAAAGCAAUAACGAAACAUCAACCCCAAAAAAAUCCAUGGCUUUCUUUCUUUCUUCCCUUCCUUCUCUCCUGUUUUGUUUUGUUUUGUUUUG